Pogoniulus pusillus (Red-fronted tinkerbird) is the source of this 2274-nucleotide long non-coding RNA. RefSeq lists it as uncharacterized. The transcript is spliced from 2 exons. NCBI's taxonomy places the organism in Eukaryota, Metazoa, Chordata, Aves, Piciformes, Lybiidae. The record is from RefSeq and is a predicted model, not a curated record.
AGCCGCAGCAACAAAGUUAAAACGGCGGUGGUCGCGCACCUACCCGCUGUCUGUAAUGUCUCCUCCGGGCGAGGGGUGCUAACUGAGACACUGGCGGGGUGGGGAGAGGCAGAGGUGCGGGGAGGGACCGGGAGAUGGGUGUUUGGUGAUCUCUUCCUUUCUCUCCCCUCUUCUUCCCCCCCCCUUCCCCCUUCUCUCUCUCGACUCUCAAGGACGAGGUGAAAUCCCUUUGCUGGUCAUGAGGCGGCUUCAGAGACAAACAACACAAUGCGAGUGCAAAUAACAAAAGGGAAAAAGAGAGGGGAGGGGGGGAGAAAGAGAAACCGGAGAGGGAGACCGGGAACAAUGGGGGAGGAGAGGCUCGCCGCGCCGCGCCUGGCCGCCGCCGGCACCCCGGCAGGCAGGAGAAGGCGGCGGAGGAAGGCGAGGUGGCGGCAGCGGUGAGGGCGCUGCGUGAGGAGUCCCACCGGCGCGGCAGGGCUUCCUCAGACAAACCCCGACCUCCUGCGCGCUGGCUGGUGCCGCCCGCCCCGCCGCGCACUGAGGCGGCCCUCCGCGGCGGCAGACUGGCCAACGGGGGCUUUUAUUUUUUAUGAAGCCGUUUCUACACGUGCAACACGCGGCGGAACGGUGAAGGGGGCUAGGCGGGAUUUGAGCCUGGGAAGCGCUCUAACUAUACACUCGGAGCCAAACUGUUCAAAGAAGAGCAAGUUCGGUUAUUAUUCAGCUCCACGAGGGAAGCCUUAUCUCCUACAAAUAUUUGAUGCUGGGACAAGUCCAAUAAUUAACAAGAACAAUCAAACAAAUUCACUGCCUUCUCGGGGAUUUAAAAAGUCAUCAUCUGGAAUUCAUGAGCAUUACAGCUUUUUACUUUUUUUUUUUCCCCCUGCUGCUUGGAUACGAUAUUGUAUAUAAUGUUUUCAGUCUGCGUGUGUGUGUCCCUAAGUGAUUUUACCCUUUGAUGCAAAAAGACGCAAACCACUAACAGCACAGAUAACACUCACAGCUACUGAUUCAGUGAGACUUAAGACCUCUCCGUAGGCAUGGGGAGAGCGGGUGGUAAUCCCGACGGAGUUAAAAAAAAAAAAAAAAAAAAAAAAAAAAAAGAAGAGAUGCAGGAGUGUUUGUUUCGGGAAUGUUUGUUUCUUCUCUUCCUCCCUACCUCUGUGCAGGAACCCCCACGUUUGUCCUGAGGGUGGGAUGAAAGCAUUACAGAUCUAAUGCAGCACUGCGUGGCACAAGGUUUUGCCAGCACUGCUUAAUAUAAGCAUCAGCCCUCCCAGCCAGCCCUGUAACUCCUCUUGCCAAAGGAAUAGCCAGAGAGGGAGAGUAAUAGGAUCCUUGCACUAUGUAGUGUGGCCCUCAGGACAUGUUUGCUGCCUGGUUGUAGUGAGCCAACAGGGCUGAAUAAGUAGUGGCCCAUGCCCCAGUUGUAUCCUACCCACUCUCUGCCCGCCUCCUCGCCCACCCCCCCAAAACAAAACAAAACAAAACAACCCACCAAAACCCCUACAAUCCAAACUUGCCUUGUUUGGAUCAAAUCCAAACUUUUAAGAAGGGUGCCCACUCACAAAGCUUCACCAUACACUGCCCUAACCACCAAAUUCUCCACAAAUUCUCACACUGGUUAUCAAAAGUCUCAAAUCUCAGUCUCCACAUCUUCAUGCAAAACCCACUUCUGACAGCCAGCAGUCCCCGGAACUGGUGUGGGCAAUGAAUUGUGUUGUGCAUGUAGCUCUGCUCUGCCUUUGGUAAUCUCAAGUUUAGGGAUCUAGAGCCAAGCUUCUCUGGCUUAGGCUCCCAGGAGUGCCUGUGUCUUCCCCACAUCUUCUAGAGCUCUGUUCUGUUGUACAGUUCCUAUCUAUUUUUUCCCUGAAGUGCAGACCUUCUCCCUUCAUUUCCUUAUUUAAGCCAACUCGUCUCUUCAAUCACGAUGAAGUCCAUUGCAGUUCAACACAAGAAAGGAAUUAGGGUUGUUUGGUCCAAACACAAUGGUGCGAGACUAUUACACUCUCCACUGUGGGAACUGUAGUUGUCUAUUACAAUAGGAUCAGUGGAAAAGAUUACCACAAGAAGAAAAAAAAAGGCAGCUCCACUGGACUGGUACUAGCUGUAUUUGAGUUUCUCUUAAAUAAUGAGGACUCCUGUAAUCCUAUUUCCAAACAUUUUUUGAAACCAUAGUUGUGAAUGCCAAUAAUUAUUUAUUGUUGGAGAUAAUUCUGCUGUUUUUUUCCUUUGUUGUCAUUAAAAUCCUUUAAAGGAAGGAUUUUCCCA